AGUUCUCACUGAGACCUGUCACCCCGACUCAACGUGAGACGCACCGCCCGGACUCACCAUGCGUGAAUGCAUCUCAGUCCACGUGGGGCAGGCAGGUGUCCAGAUGGGCAAUGCCUGCUGGGAGCUCUAUUGCUUGGAACAUGGGAUUCAGCCUGAUGGGCAGAUGCCCAGUGACAAGACCAUUGGUGGAGGGGACGACUCCUUCACCACCUUCUUCUGUGAAACUGGUGCUGGAAAACACGUACCCCGGGCAGUUUUUGUGGAUCUGGAGCCUACGGUCAUUGGUGAGAGGAAGUGGGGACAAAAUUGAAGGGGGUGGAGCAUGACUCAAAGCUUCUCCCUGGAGAGAGAGGGUAUUUAGACCAGGCAUUCCUAGCCCUGAAAAUUCCUAGCCGUACUUGAAGCUGCAGAAGGCAAGCUGAUCUGAGACUGGCCUGGGCAGCUGGUCUGGGUUUCUCUCACACUCUGGUAUCUCAGGCUGGCAGGAGGAUGAGUCCUUCCAUGCAUCUGGCCACAGCUACCACCCUGGGGGAGGAAGGUCCCUGCUGAGCAUAGCUUUGUGGUUUUUGCCCUUCCAGAUGAGAUCCGAAAUGGCCCAUACCGACAGCUCUUCCACCCAGAGCAGCUCAUCACUGGGAAAGAGGAUGCUGCCAACAACUAUGCCCGUGGUCACUAUACCAUUGGCAAGGAGAUCAUUGACCCAGUGCUGGAUCGGAUCCGCAAGCUGGUGAGAGUGUGUCUUGGGAGGGAGGG
This 753-nucleotide long non-coding RNA is filed under the name Homo sapiens (human). Its description in RNAcentral is "non-protein coding lnc-GLB1L-1:1". The record is from RNAcentral. Lineage: Eukaryota; Metazoa; Chordata; Mammalia; Primates; Hominidae.